UCUCCGUAGGUGAACCUGCGGAGGGAUCAUUACAGAGUUCAUGCCCUAACGGGUAGAUCUCCCACCCUAUGUUAUCAUCACUUUGUUGCUUUGGCGGGCCGUCAGGCCUCGGCUUGGCUACCGGCUCUCGCUGAUAAGCGCCCGCCAGAGAACCCCAAACCCUGAAUAUCAGUGUCGUCUGAGUACUAUAUAAUAGUUAAAACUUUCAACAACGGAUCUCUUGGUUCUG
RNAcentral lists this unclassified non-coding RNA (229 nucleotides) under plant metagenome. RNAcentral's name for it is "partial contains small subunit ribosomal RNA, internal transcribed spacer 1, and 5.8S ribosomal RNA". The record is from RNAcentral.